This 499-nucleotide ribosomal RNA is filed under the name uncultured Glomeromycotina. RNAcentral describes it as "partial small subunit ribosomal RNA". It matches the Rfam family "Eukaryotic small subunit ribosomal RNA", at positions 591 to 1092 of the family's 1831-position model. The record is from RNAcentral. Lineage: Eukaryota; Fungi; Glomeromycota.
CCAAUAGCGUAUAUUGAAGUUGUUGCAGUUAAAAAACUCGUAGUUGAACUUCGGGAUCAAUUAGUUGGUCAUGCCUUGGUAUGUACUGAUUUUAUUGGUUCUCACCUUCUAAAGAACUAUAAUGUCAUUUAUUUGAUGUUAUAGGGAAUUAGGACUGUUACCUUGAAAAAAUUAGAGUGUUUAAAGCAGGCUCACGCUUGAAUACAUUAGCAUGGAAUAAUGAAAUAGGACAUCGCAUUCUAUUUUGUUGGUUUCUAGGAUCGAUGUAAUGAUUAAUAGGGAUAGUUAGGGGCAUUAGUAUUCAAUUGUCAGAGGUGAAAUUCUUGGAUUUAUUGAAGACUAACUACUGCGAAAGCAUUUGCCAAGGAUGUUUUCAUUAAUCAAGAACGAAAGUUAGGGGAUCGAAGACGAUCAGAUACCAUCGUAGUCUUAACCAUAAACUAUGCCGACUAGGGAUCGGAUGAUGUUGAUUUUUUAAUGACUCAUUCGGCGCCUUACG